Non-coding RNA from Pelodiscus sinensis (Chinese soft-shelled turtle), 1105 nucleotides. The record is from RefSeq and is a predicted model, not a curated record. Lineage: Eukaryota; Metazoa; Chordata; Testudines; Trionychidae.
GUUGCGCUUGGGGGGCGGAAGCUGCGGCGAGGAGGGGAAGCAAAACAAAGCGGGAGAGGGGCGGGAGGAGCCGGGAUGUGACGGGCGGCGGCGGCGGCGGCGGGGAGAGCGGCCCAGGUGGGAAGAAUGAAAGAAAGGUGGGACGAAAGAAUGUUGAACUGUUCUGUAUGGCUGUACGAUGGAAGGAAACAGAACAGAGAAUCUCUGCAGUAGAUCAUUUGGAUGGCUUCAACAACCAGAUAAUGAUGCUAAGCCAUGGCUCUGGAAAUUCUCUAAUUGCUUUUCUGCUGCUGAACAGACUUUGCCUUUCAGUGCAAAACCGAAAGAUUACAUGGAGAACAAGAAAGCUGUUGUGGAAUUGAAGGAUGCUUCAUCUCCUCUUCACACUGGCUCUAAACUAUUUCCAGCAGUACCACUUCCUGAUGUUCGUUCUCUUCAACAACAGCAAAUACAGCUUUCACCUAGCCCCAAAGUAAGCUGCUGUGCUCAUGGAUCGGACUCCUCUUGUACUUCUCAGCUGCAUUUUGGUGGUGGUGGUGGUGGUGGUUUGAUUCAUUCUGGCACAGUAUUAGACUCUCAAAGCACUGGGACAAUUACUUGUCAAAUUGGGUCAGGGUUUGCUUAUCCAUCUGCAUCUUCGCUCAAGAAUGCUCCAGCUAGAAACAAUUUGGCAGGCAUUUCAAGCGAUUUCCCCAGCAUGUGUAUGGAAAAUAAUGUAUCUUCCUGUCAACAUCUGCCAUGCUGUGGUAAAUUUCAUUUCCAGUCUUGUCAUGGUAGUGCACACAAACUCCAUCAAUUUCCGGCCCUUCAGAGCUGCACAUCUUCUGGCUAUUUUCCCUGUUCCGAAUUUACAAGUGGGGCUACGGGGCACUUGGAGGAGCGUGUUACACAAUCGGAGCUAACAUCACGUGUAUGCACCAAUUCUUUGCACCUAAAUGUGGCACCUUCGGUCUGUUUAAAGGGCUCUCACUACUGUAAAGAAUGUUUAACCAAGGUUUGUACAUUUCAUGUUUCUUCUUAAAGUACUAUAUAUUGUAAAUGGUUAAAUAAUGAAUGUUAACUGGGAAACAAAUAGGUAGGAUGGUAUGUAUAGCGCUUGAAUUAC